Non-coding RNA from Myotis davidii, 75 nucleotides. Lineage: Eukaryota; Metazoa; Chordata; Mammalia; Chiroptera; Vespertilionidae. The record is from Rfam.
GGCAGCUCUCAAGUGACACACCCUGGAAUUGGGCUCCCUCCUCUCUGGUUCUGGGUGCAUCACCCAAGAACUGCA